CAUUGGGGAAUUUUCCGCAAUGGGCGAAAGCCUGACGGAGCAAUGCCACGUGGAGGUGGAAGGCCUACGGGUCGUCAACUUCUUUUCUCGGAGAAGAAACAAUGACGGUAUCUGAGGAAUAAGCAUCGGCUAACUCUGUGCCAG
This 144-nucleotide ribosomal RNA is filed under the name uncultured bacterium. RNAcentral describes it as "partial 16S rRNA". It matches the Rfam family "Bacterial small subunit ribosomal RNA", at positions 352 to 511 of the family's 1533-position model. The record is from RNAcentral.